AAUCUGUGAUUUGGGCAUUUCCUCAAUAAAGAAUUGAGCCGCUCCCAAGCUUCACAGAAUGGCUCAUCUGGUCCUUGCCUAAAAGUCAAAAUAUCAGCUUUGGCU
Vigna unguiculata (cowpea) is the source of this 105-nucleotide small nucleolar RNA. NCBI's taxonomy places the organism in Eukaryota, Viridiplantae, Streptophyta, Magnoliopsida, Fabales, Fabaceae. The record is from RefSeq and is a predicted model, not a curated record.